CCUCCUUAUAACGAAGUUGCACUUACAGAGUGUUCACACAAAUAAUUAAUUACGAAGUUUUAAGAGAGCUCUAACCCAUGCGCACAGUAUGUGCUCAUCAGUUAGGGUUUUUAACCCGGACGUGUAAACGUCAUGCUCUUUAACAAUUUGGAAAGCUGAUAAAAUAAGGUAAACAUUAUUGUUUAUUUAAUUUGUUAUUCAACAAUUUAAAAAAAUAAUUUUGAUUACCACUGUAAGAGAAAACUCAAGCGUUAUUUAUGUCAAAACGAACAUGCCUAUACAACAUGUCUCGUUAAUAAAUAUGACACAAGAUGAUGCAAUCGAGAAUGUGAGAACAUUUAAGGUUGUAUGGUUAAGUGAAUAAGCGUAUACGGUGGAUGC
Molecule: unclassified non-coding RNA, 381 nt
Filed under: uncultured Gammaproteobacteria bacterium
Lineage: Bacteria; Pseudomonadati; Pseudomonadota; Gammaproteobacteria
Description: partial 16S-23S ribosomal RNA intergenic spacer
Source: RNAcentral